Long non-coding RNA from Ostrea edulis (European flat oyster), 536 nucleotides. RefSeq lists it as uncharacterized. The record is from RefSeq and is a predicted model, not a curated record. The transcript is spliced from 2 exons. NCBI's taxonomy places the organism in Eukaryota, Metazoa, Mollusca, Bivalvia, Ostreida, Ostreidae.
GAUCUACGAAAUACAACGAAAGACUUCGUCAAGAACAGAAGACGAUGUCGUGUAACUCACACAAGGCCCGGCCCAGCUGUCUAGUAACCGGAGGGGUAAAGGAAAAGAACGUAUUAGACUCACUGAAACCUGUCAAACUGGUUAAUGGGAACAGGAUAAUUUUCCAUGCCUUUCACUUGAGGUCUUCAGUUUCAUCAUUAAUCAUCUGAAUGUCGGUAUGCCAAACUCUCAUGAUGUCAUGCCAUUACUGGAUAUUCCUUAACACUGGUUUAUUUAAACCACACUACCUAUAACAUUGCCAAAUAUUAGACUGAAAAUUUUCAAAUACACAAGAUUUGAAGCAGCAAAAGAAAAGAAUUACAUAUGUAUAACACACAAAAAAGAAGAAAUUAAUUCUCACCUGGCUGAUAUGAACUUUUUACUCCUUUUUAGCUCCCUUUCACUGCAUACCAGCCAAUAACUAGCAGUCAUUAUAUGCAGAUCAGCCAUUGUUAUCAACCUGUGUAUAUAUAUGUUGAAUAAAAUAUGAAUGAAAA